RNAcentral lists this ribosomal RNA (371 nucleotides) under uncultured bacterium. RNAcentral describes it as "bacterial SSU rRNA". It matches the Rfam family "Bacterial small subunit ribosomal RNA", at positions 527 to 896 of the family's 1533-position model. The record is from RNAcentral.
AGAGGGGGCAAGCGUUGUUCGGAAUUACUGGGCGUAAAGGGCGCGUAGGCGGCCUGCUAAGUCGAACGUGAAAUCCCUGGGCUCAACCCAGGAACUGCGUCCGAUACUGACAGGCUUGAAUCCGGGAGAGGGAUGCGGAAUUCCAGGUGUAGCGGUGAAAUGCGUAGAUAUCUGGAGGAACACCGGUGGCGAAGGCGGCAUCCUGGACCGGCAUUGGCGCUGAGGCGCGAAAGCUAGGGGAGCAAACGGGAUUAGAUACCCCGGUAGUCCUAGCCCUAAACGAUGAAUGCUUGGUAUGGCGGGUAUCGAUCCCUGCCGUGCCGAAGCUAACGCAUUAAGCAUUCCGCCUGGGGAGUACGGUCGCAAGGCUG